Molecule: unclassified non-coding RNA, 621 nt
Filed under: Hevea brasiliensis (rubber tree)
Lineage: Eukaryota; Viridiplantae; Streptophyta; Magnoliopsida; Malpighiales; Euphorbiaceae
Source: RNAcentral
GAGCCAGUGUUUGCAGGUGACUACUUUAUGAAAAGCAGCAAGCAGAAGAAAGCCUAUGGUUAAAAGAAACAAUCACAAUGCUGCUCAAGGACCACAACAUUUUACAAGUUCAGUUGUAUCAAAAAAUCAAAAUCAGGGACUUUUUGAUGAUUAUAAGACGGAGUGUGAUGAAAGCACAAACGAUGACAGCAAGGAAGUUUUUCAAGAUCGUUCAAUUUUUGAGAAUUCAAAUCUGGGAGACAUACUAGAUAUUGUUGGGGCUGCUGAUAAACAAAUACCUCAACCAUCAUUUGUAUUUGACAAACCCAAAAAAAUAAGGUCGCUUGUUUUUGAGGACAACAUGAUUGUUCAGAUCAAGAUGACAAUGAUGAAGAGGAUCAGUUCAGAUUUACUACCCCUAUUCAGUCUAUAGUUCUCAUGGAAGGGUCACAACAAUCACAGUUUGAGUUGGAUGAUUCUCUGAUGUCAAGUCUCAGUAACAUAAAAAGUAUUUGUGUUACUGAGAAUACAAUUAAUGCAGAGCAGAGCAUCAUCAUGCACAUUCAAACCACAAGCAAUGACAACUCAAAUAUGCAAAAACAAGCUAGCAUGGAGAGUCAGAACAAAAUAAGUCAUGUUCAC